RNAcentral lists this ribosomal RNA (253 nucleotides) under uncultured bacterium. RNAcentral describes it as "partial 16S ribosomal RNA". It matches the Rfam family "Bacterial small subunit ribosomal RNA", at positions 524 to 776 of the family's 1533-position model. The record is from RNAcentral.
UACGUAGGGUGCGAGCGUUAAUCGGAAUUACUGGGCGCAAAGCGUGCGCAGGCGGUUUUGUAAGCCAGAUGUGAAAUCCCCGGGCUUAACCUGGGAAUGGCAUUUGGGACUGCAAGGCUUGAGUGCGGCAGAGGAGACUGGAAUUCCUGGUGUAGCAGUGAAAUGCGUAGAUAUCAGGAGGAAUACCGAUGGCGAAGGCAGGUCUCUGGGCUGACACUGACGCUCAUGCACGAAAGCGUGGGGAGCAAACAGG